AGCGAACGCUGGCGGCAGGCCUAACACAUGCAAGUCGAACGAACUCUUCGGAGUUAGUGGCGGACGGGUGAGUAACACGUGGGAACGUGCCUUUAGGUUCGGAAUAACUCAGGGAAACUUGUGCUAAUACCGAAUGUGCCCUUCGGGGGAAAGACUUAUCGCCUUUAGAGCGGCCCGCGUCUGAUUAGCUAGUUGGUGAGGUAACGGCUCACCAAGGCGACGAUCAGCAGCUGGUCUGAGAGGAUGGCCAGCCACACUGGGACUGAGACACGGCCCAGACUCCUACGGGAGGCAGCAGUGGGGAAUCUUGCGCAAUGGGCGAAAGCCUGACGCAGCCAUGCCGCGUGAAUGAUGAAGGUCUUAGGAUUGUAAAAUUCUUUCACCGGGGACGAUAAUGACGGUACCCGGAGAAGAAGCCCCGGCUAACUUCGUGCCAGCCGCCGCCGUAA
This 449-nucleotide ribosomal RNA is filed under the name uncultured bacterium. Its description in RNAcentral is "partial 16S ribosomal RNA". It matches the Rfam family "Bacterial small subunit ribosomal RNA", at positions 29 to 523 of the family's 1533-position model. The record is from RNAcentral.